AGAGGACGGGGCCAGGCUGCACCCGGCGGUGCCCAGCAGCGGGACCGGAGGCACUGGGCACACGCUGCAGCGCAGCAGGUUUCCCCGCAGUGCUGCCACGGCCGCGCUGCUUCCCCGUUUUGGGUAAUACUACUGGAUAUGUAUGGCUGGGCUAAUGAAUGUAUCGAGACCCCACUGUGGCACGCACGCUAGGAGGAGCGAUCACCCUUGCGCCCGGCGUGUGGCACAGCGCUGAAAGAAAGACGUCUGCUCUCCUAACCUGACGGGGGUUCGAGAGUUUGAUUCCGCAGAUCAGUUGGGCACCCCAGAUGGGACACUCUCUGUUCGGCUGCAGGACCAGUUGAGGAGGGAGACGCCUUUGGCGCGCCCUGAGAAUUGUUGGAAGGACUCCCUCUGCUCAUCCUAUCACUGCGGGGACAGACGAGGACCAUCUGGAAGCGGACCAGACAAUCACUCAAUCUGUCAGGCCUCCCCUGCCUCAUUUCCAACCUUCCCCUCAGUGAGCAGCUUACUACCUCAGCCUUUAGUUUCUGUAGUAGCUGGAUAUCUGUAGUAUUGAUCCGGCCCGAAGGUGACAACCUUCCAACCUGCUGGUCUCUGCCCAUGUUCUCUGUCACAACAUCGGAUGUGUGUGCUCGCUGGAUGCACUGAUAAGAAAUGUUUUUGAGAAGAGAACCUCGUGCUUCCCAGAGCAGUAAGACUGUGAGGAUUUGGGAGGCUCUUCACAAACCUGGUUAGAGUGUGCUUUCCCAGACGGCGUGCUGUUAAAGCAACCCUUCUCAAAAGCAGAGCAUUGUGCCUGGUGUGACUUAAAUCCCACCCACAAAGGAGCAUUCCCUGCAGUCUCUGAUCUCAGGUGCGUGUUUCCCCCACUGCUGGAACUGCUGGA
Molecule: long non-coding RNA, 889 nt
Organism: Centrocercus urophasianus (Greater sage-grouse)
Lineage: Eukaryota; Metazoa; Chordata; Aves; Galliformes; Phasianidae
Exons: 3
Source: RefSeq, a predicted model, not a curated record